Lathyrus oleraceus (garden pea) is the source of this 950-nucleotide long non-coding RNA. RefSeq lists it as uncharacterized. The record is from RefSeq and is a predicted model, not a curated record. The transcript has 2 exons. NCBI's taxonomy places the organism in Eukaryota, Viridiplantae, Streptophyta, Magnoliopsida, Fabales, Fabaceae.
GGAAUCAUUUUUGUAUGUUUUUUUUUAAUUUGAGAUUCUGCAAUGAUGGAGCAAGGUCGGAGUAGUUUAAACUCUAUACCUUCUUUUCUAUCUAAGACUUAUAUGAUGGUCAAUGAUCAUACAACUGAUACCAUUAUUUCGUGGAGUUCUACCCAUAGAAGUUUCGUUGUUUGGAUUCAAUAUGAUUUUUCGAAGGAUUUGUUGCCCAUAUUCUUUAAGCAUAACAAAUUCUCGAGUUUUGUCAGACAACUUAACACCUAUGGAUUUAGAAAGGUUGGUCAAGAACAAUGGGAAUUCACAAAUGAAGAUUUUGUAAAAGAUCAACCAAAUCUCAUAAAAAAUAUCUAUAGGGGAGAUGAUAUUUUGGCCAUUAUGUGCCUAAUACUCAUAGCCAAUGGGCGGCGGCUUCUGGUGUUAGUGUUGUUGCUGCUCCAUUAACAGAAUCAGAGUGGUGGAAUUUUAAAGCUCAGAUUGAAAAACUUAGAAAUGAAAAAGAACAACUACUUAUGGAACAUCAGAGGCAGCAAGAGGAGGGGAAUCAAAAUGAGAUAUAGUUACAUUACUCGAAGGAUCGUUUGCAACAAUUGGAAUUGAAUCAACAAAGUUUGCUCUCUUUUAUUGGUUAGGUGUUACAAAAAUCAGUGGAAGAGGCAAGUCUCCAGCAAUCUACAGUAAACACGAGGAGGAAACGAAGUUAUAUAGGAAAUAGUCCCUAUAAUAAUUUAGCUAGCAUUGAAAUUCAGAAGGAAACUUUGGAAGAGUUAUCUAGAGCAAACACUGAGAGUGCGUCUGUUCUCAGUAUAAACAUGGAGCAAUUAGAUCUGUUUGAGUCAUCUUUGACGUUUUGGGACAAUAUUGUAAAUUUUUGAGAAUUAUGUUUGUAUUAAAGAGAUGUGUGACACCCUUGGUGUUUAAAAAUGUUUUAUUUUUAUGAAUUUAAUUAAGUAAGA